GAGCACGUAGGUGGGUUUGUAAGUCAGACGUGAAAGCCUUCUGUUCAACGGAAGAAUUGCAUCUGAAACUACAAACCUUGAGUGUAGGAGGGGAGAAUGGAACUUCUGGUGGAGCGGUGAAAUGCGUAGAUAUCAGAAGGAACGCCGGCGGCGAAAGCGAUUCUCUGGCCUAUUACUGACACUCAGUGUGCGAAAGCUAGGGGAGCAAACGGGAUCAGAUACCCCGGUAGUCCUAGCCGUAAACGAUGGGCACUAAGUAGAGGG
This 264-nucleotide ribosomal RNA is filed under the name uncultured Planctomycetota bacterium. RNAcentral's name for it is "uncultured planctomycete partial 16S ribosomal RNA". It matches the Rfam family "Bacterial small subunit ribosomal RNA", at positions 565 to 827 of the family's 1533-position model. Lineage: Bacteria; Pseudomonadati; Planctomycetota. The record is from RNAcentral.